RNAcentral lists this ribosomal RNA (504 nucleotides) under Stylocellus sp. Peninsula 9b. Its description in RNAcentral is "eukaryotic LSU rRNA". It matches the Rfam family "Eukaryotic large subunit ribosomal RNA", at positions 666 to 1139 of the family's 3401-position model. Lineage: Eukaryota; Metazoa; Arthropoda; Arachnida; Opiliones; Stylocellidae. The record is from RNAcentral.
CCAAGGAGUCUAACAUGUGCGCGAGUCAUUGGGUCUUGCUCAGGCCCAAAGGCGAAAUGAAAGUGAAGGCCGGCUCGGUCGGCUGCGUUGGGAUCCCGCCCUCGACGGCGGGCGCACCAACGGCCCGUCCCAGUCGCUGCGUCGACGGGGCGGAGUGAGAGCGUACACGUUGGGACCCGAAAGAUGGUGAACUAUGCCUGGGCAGGACGAAGCCAGAGGAAACUCUGGUGGAGGUCCGCAGCGAUUCUGACGUGCAAAUCGAUCGUCAGACCUGGGUAUAGGGGCGAAAGACUAAUCGAACCAUCUAGUAGCUGGUUCCCUCCGAAGUUUCCCUCAGGAUAGCUGGCGCUCGGAGGAAGCAUUCUCAUCCGGUAAAGCGAAUGAUUAGAGGCCUUGGGGCCGAAACGACCUCAACCUAUUCUCAAACUUUAAAUGGGUGAGAAGUCCGGCUUGCUCGACUGAAGCCCGGACGUGAGGAUGCGAGUGCCCAGUGGGCCACUUUUG